UUUGGUAUUUUAUUGUAAUACUAAGAUAGUUUGUUAGAUAACGCCAUCUUUAGAAUUUUAUUGGGCGUCUUAGCUUUAUUUAUUAAAAUUCGAUAUUUUAUAUAAAGCCGUGCAAAUUUACAUAAUUUAAGCAUUUCAUCCCGAGAAACAGAGAGAUAAUCAAGGAUUCUGCCAACAAUGAAGCUGAAUAUUGAUUUGGGUUUACUUCUCAUCUCUCUGGUGGGCAGAUUGACCUGUCAAAGAGUCCAAUCAGUAAUCACUGGGGAUGCAACAUGUGACAAAAGAAUGUCUUUCUAUGCUGAUGGUGUCCGCUAUACCACCACACCAAACGAUAAUAAAUGGCGAAAAUCAUCACCUGUCAGGAUUCCUGAUGAUACCGAACUUGUUGCCAUUAAAUGUGUAAAUCCCGCGGGGGUUGGUGGCAUCAAGAUGGCAUUGAGUGACGGUACUAAAACAGACGUGACGUGGAAAUGUUCUGCUACAUUUGAAGAUAAUUGGAAUAAAGUCGGAUUUUAUGACGCUGCCUGGGAAAAUGCCAUUGUACCUGACUACAACAAUAGAAAAAGCAAACCGGAAUCUCUGAAUGGUAAAGCUGACUGGAUUUGGACAAGUGGUUAUAGAGAAGGACAGGAUAAAAUAGUCUAUUGUAGAAAAGUUAUUAAAAAUCCAUGUGCUCUCGACACAGUCAGGUAUUUCGCUUAUCCAUUCAACGACACGAAAUAUUACCAGUGUGAUAACAACGUUGCCAAGCUACGUGACUGUGCACCUGGUACUGUGUGGUUUCAAGAAGAUCUUACUUGUGGUCUUGACAAUCUUGACACCGUUCCUGACUGCGAUCUAGACAUUGGCUGCACCGGCGACACACCUACAACAGCUGACCCGGAAGAUUGUACUAAAUACUAUGAUUGUGUUGAUGGAGAACCAAUCGGGGAACCAAGGCCUUGUGCAACUGGUACGGCUUAUAAUCCUGUCAUAGAUGGCUGUGAUCAUAUCAGUAACGUUCCAGACUGUGACUCAAACUAAUACUGUUUAAUCAAUGAAAAUGACAAUGAAUUCAAAUAUACCAAUUAUUAAAUUUAGGUUUUUCUAAUUUCAUGUUUAAUCGUUUUUGGUCUAAUAUAAAUUUGUUCUAUGGCGACUGUCGAUGCUGGAAAUAUUUUGGGUUUGUAUUCUGAUCCAUAUCUUGUUUGGGUAUUUUUUCAAAAUUUUCUAAACUAAAAGUUUUAUAGUCCAUAAUUUUUCUGAGUUAAAAUAAAAAUCAGCGUCAA
Patella vulgata (common limpet) is the source of this 1268-nucleotide long non-coding RNA. RefSeq lists it as uncharacterized. The record is from RefSeq and is a predicted model, not a curated record. The transcript has 5 exons. NCBI's taxonomy places the organism in Eukaryota, Metazoa, Mollusca, Gastropoda, Patellidae.